CAGUGCAUACACAAACGCACAUGCACACAGACACACAUACCUCCCCAUUCUCUCUCUCACCAUCUCCGACAGCCUGACAGGCGGAGCACCACCAGUCGCUGCCCCUCUCUCUCCUCUUCCCUCUCUCCUUCUCCUUCACUGUCGCCAACAAAAUCGACCGGAGCCGUUACCGCACCCAAUCCCCCGUUUUCUCUCUCCGCUUCAGCACCACCAGCUGCCACCACCGCCUCAACAUCCACCAGAGGAGCAUCCAACCAGACAAGCCAGCAGCCCAUUCCACCCGUGUUUCCACCACUGUCGUUGGAGCUUCCACGGGUCUCACUGCCAUCGCCACCCUUUCCCUCUUUGCCCUCAUCGUUGACCAGCCUACUAUCACUACUGUAUUUUCUCCCUUUACCUGCAUUUUUUAAUAAAAACUAUUCUUUGCAGAUCUGUUUGGCUUUCGUAUUUUUUGGUGUUGCUUCGGUGAAAUCCGUGGAAGCAGCGCCUCCCUUUUUCCAUUGUUGCAACCAGAUCUGACCGGGAAAUAUUUUUCUUUGUUGAAAUCUGUUUGUUAGCUUGUAUACUCUUGUAUCGUUAGUUUGUUCUAUCUGGAUAUUGUUACUGUGUUAACGGACUAAGUUUGUUAAUUUUUUUUUUUGUCUUUUGUUCGAAGAUAAAUCAGCUCGGAACUUACAUUCUUUUUGACAAAUUUUGGAUUAUUUUGAUAAAACUGUGAUGACCUCUGCCACUCGACUGCUUUCUUUCAUAAUUUUAUCACUUUUGCUUUAUGCUAUUAUCUUUCUCUGUCUCUUUAUUAUUAUUAUUAUUAUUAUUAUUAUUAUUAUUAUUUGUGGACUGAUUUAGUAUUGUUUAAAUUUAAAUUUUUUUCCAUUGACUUGCUAUUAUUUUACUUGAUUAUAUGAUCACUUAAAUAUGUGUUCUUGAUUCAUUUGAUAUUGAUGCGUAUUUUAAAUGACACGUGUAAUCUGUCUUUUUCUGUUUAUUUUUCAAUGAUUUUAGGUAGUAUUGGUAUGCAUCUUUAUUUUUUGCGCCUUAGUUACUUUAUUUUAUUUAUAUUUGAUUGUCCUUGAUUUAUUAGUUACUUUAUUUUAUUUAUAUUUGAUUGUUCUUGAUUUAUUUGAAUAUAUUUCAUCCACUUCCAAAAAUUUUGUUCGGCAAGUUGUGCUAUUGUGUUUUUGUUUCAUUUGACUACUGUUGUUUGUAAUUUUUUUUUUUUUUGCAUAUUAUUUUACAUUAUUUUAGUUGAUUUUAUAUAAUUUUGUGUUUGGAAAUAUAUUUGAUCGAUGAAGAAACUCUCCGUUGAUUUUCGAGGCCUUAGCAAAUAAAAAGAUGGAUAUUUCGUAUACAAAUACGUAAUAAAAUAAAUAAUUUCGAGUAAUGAUGAAUCUUUAUAAAUUCUUUUAAAAAAACUUUAUAUCAGCCCACUUUUUAACAAAAUUAUAUUUUUAAAUAAAUAUAUGUUCAUGUGCCUUUAUAAUUUAUGUUAUUACUAUUUAUUUGUUACUGACAUUGUUAUUACAAGUGUUUAUAUAGGUUAUUGAGAAUACUCAUCGGGAAUAGCAUGUAAAGAAGACCUUGAGUUUUAUAUUUGUAUUUUUAUAUUUUUAUAUUUAUACAAAUACUAUCAUAGUAAAAUUUUAUUUUUCGAGGCGUUGGACGGGAAUGUUCUUUAUUUAUACAAACAAACUUCAUCCUGCUUUUAGGCAAACUUAGGCCGUAAUAUUUAUACAAUUAAGAAUUAAAUUAAUUUAGAUAUUAAAUCAAACAAAAUUAAAAAUACUUUCUUCUCAUUUUUCAUACAUGUCUUUCUAUAUUCUUACGUUCAUAUUAUUUACGAUACAUAUAUAUUUAUACAUAGUUUAAAUGUAGAUUAUUUUAAUAUGCAUUUUUAUAUUUAUAUUUAUAAACAUCAAAGUUUUUCCUUCAUCUUUUAAUAAACCCAUUUUUAUAUUUAUAUUUAUAAACAUCGAAGUUUUUCCUUCAUCUUUUAAUAAACCUAAGUCUGGUUGGAAACCACAUUUGUGGAUUUUGAAGGAUGCCUAAUUCCUUUUCUUCGAAAUAAUUUGAAUAUUUACCUAGAAUUCAAACUGGUUUUGUAGAUUAAGUAAAUUCAUAUUUAUUAAACAAAUAAAUAGGUUUCUUAUUUUUUUUCUUAAAAAUUAGGUGGCGAUUCUGUAUAAAAAUCAAUUCUUUUAGAGUCAUAAAUGUCAUACUCGUUUAUACAGUUAGGUUGGAUAUAACAGUUUGGCGACUUUGUUGGGGAUGCAAGGUUCUAACCAUUACAAAUUUAGGUAAAUAUUUAUAUUUUUCUACUUUAUUAUUUGUUUCUUUUUAAUUGUCUUGAUUUAUCUUGUUUGUGUGGCAUAAAUUGUUAUUUGUUUUGUAUAACUUAUUUAUUUAUUUAUUGCUUUAUAUAAACUGACAUUCCGUUCAUAUUUUUUCCCUUUGGAAAAGAUGACACAAUCAUACAUACACGUGUGGUGUGUUUUGCGCAUCCGCAAAUUUAUUUCAAAAUCCUAAAUUUUAGGAGAGUUGGCAUAUAUGCAGAGUGUCCGAAGCCUUUUCUGUGUGCCCGUGUAGCUUUCUCACUCGAGUAGUUCGCUCGAGAACCACAGGUCUAGCAAACCCACUCUUAGUCGAACAUAGGAUAGAGCUAAAACAACACCUUUUUAGGCGUAUGCAUCAUUAGUCAACUUUAUGUUCGAAGGAUUGACAAUUCACGAGACAAUUAUUAUAGUCUUUGUUCAUAUUUGAAGGAUUAUUGUGUUUGUACAUAUUUAUUUGUUCUAAAUUAUUUAUUCUUUUGUGGGAAGGUGUAACCUAAUCUUUGUUUCCAUGGUUAAUCAGUUAAAAAAUACACCUUAUCAAUAUCACCACUAGUUGCGUAUAGAUUUGAACUACGUUUAAACCUAAUUCUUAUCCUGACAAGAUACGUAGGCAACCCUGCAUUAAAGUUCGGUCUCUUCACUAUUUCAAAAUAAUUUCAUCGGUAUUCAAGUUGGGGCAAUUUUCUUGAAAAGUUCAAAGACGUUCUCUAAAAAUCUUCAAGAGCACAAAUCAAUAGCUCCUCAAAAUUCCAAUCUCAAUAACAUUAGGGUCUAGCUAGCCUACCUCCAGAUUUUUACCUAUUUUUUGUGCAAGAAUAUCUAACUUCUUCUUUUAAAUGUCGUAAACUAUUAAAUUUAUGGCAUAUCGAUCCUCACUUUCAAAAACAAGAAUUCAAAUUUUUUUUCAGUUAUAAUAAUCCUUCCAACUGCAGCGAAAUAAUGUCAUAAUUCCUUCAAUGUUCGACUUUUUUAAUCUUGUCAGCAUACUGAAGUUGUGUCAAAGCUCUCCCUAUGCUUUACAUCCAUUGUUUUGAUUAUUUGAUCAGAACAAUUUUAAUGCUAAAAGCAGUUCUUUCUUAAUCGUCUUUCAUAUUAUUUUUAUGAAUGAUCAUCAAUUUUUUUAUAAUCAUACAUUGCACAUACAAAUUUGUAAAUUUGCUUAAACUACGCAGACCUGAUUAUUGUUUUCACAAGAUAUGUAGGCAACCCUCAGUUGGAUUUGAUCCCAUUCUUUUAGAAAAAUAAUAAAAUUUUGACUUGAUUAGUACCAAUACAGUUAGGAGUGUGCAUGCAAAAGAACAAAUUGGUAUGAUGUAAAUGACAUAUUUCAUGGUAAACCAUAGAUUCUCUUGGUACCUUUUAUCACACCUUAAUGAUGCCUGAAAAUUCUCUUGCAUACAUCUAAGACAAGAACGAAACCAACCUCGUCGUUUCUUGUGCAUUGUGUGUUUAGCGUUAGUUUAAUUACAACAACAACAACAAACCCAGUAUAUUUCCACCUAGUGGGGUCUGGGAAGGGUAGAAUGUACGCAGUCCAUACAACUACCUCUAAAGAAGUAGAGAGGCUGUUUUCGAUAGACCCCCGGCUCAAGACACAGGACAAUAUACAAAAAUAUUCAAAGCAUGAAACAUGAUAAAACUAACAUAGAUACAACAUCCACAAAAGUAAUGUACAAUACCAAACAAAAGACACCAAAACUCUCCUAACUAUGGACUACGAUUCAUCCACCCACCUUAUCCCUCUAUCCUAGUGUUUUAUCUCCAAACCUUCCUAUCCAGGGUUAUUUCCUCAGUGAGACGUAACUAAUCCAUGUCACGUCUAAUCACUUCUUUCCAGUAUUUCUUCGGUCUACCCUACCCCGCUUGAAACCAUCUAACGCUAGUCUCUCAUACCUACGAACUGGGGCAUCCGUGCCCCUCCUCAUCACAUGACCAAACCAUCUCUACCUCACUUUCCGCAUUUUUUCCUCCACCGAUACCACUCUCACCUUCUCCCGAAUAAUCUCAUUCCUAACCCUGUCAGCCCUUGUAAGACCACAUAUCCAACACAACAUCCUCAUUUCCGCCACCUUCAACUUUUGGAUAUGGGAAGUCUUAACUGGCCAAUACUCCGCUCCGUACAACAUAGCCGGCCAGACUGCAACUCUAUAUAAUUUGCCUUUAAACUUGGGAGACACCUUCUUAUCGCAUAAAAUCCUCGAAGCGAGCCUCCAUUUUAUCCAACCUGCCCCAAUACGGUGCGAGAUAUCCUCAUCUAUCUCUUCAUUUCCCUGGAUCGUAGACCCAAGAUACUUAAAACUAUCCCUCUUGCAAACUGCUUGAGAAUCCAACUUCACCACCACCUCUUCCUCUUGCCUCGAGUCACUAAACUUGCACUCCAAAUGCUUCGUCUCGUUCCUACUCAAUAUGAAACCUUUAGACUCUAGAGUUUGUCUCCAAACCUCCAACUUACCAUUAACACCUUGCCGCGACUCAUCAAUCAAAACUACAUCGUCCACAAAAAGCAUACACCAAGGCACCUCACCUUGUAAACUCCACGUCAGCACAUCCAUCACCAUGGAAAAUAAGAACGAACUAAGAGCCGAUACCUGAUGCAACCCUAUCAAGACCGAAAAAUGCUCAGAAUCUCCUCCCACCGUCCUUACUCGAGUCUUCGCCCCCUCAUGCAUAUCCUUAAUAGCUCUAAUGUACGCCACAGGAACCUCCCUCACCUCCAAGCAUCUCCAAAGAAUCUCCCUAGGGACCUUGUCAUACGCCUUUUCCAAGUUAAUAAGUACCAUGUGAAGAUCUCUCUUCCUCUCUCUGUACUGCUCUACCAGUCUUCGCACAAGGUGAAUUGCCUCUGUCGUCGAGCGACCAGACAUAAAUCCAAAUUGAUUCUCCAAAAUAGACACAAUUUUUCUCAACCUCCGCUCUACCACUCUCUCCCAAAUCUUCAUCGUGUGACUCAACAACUUAAUACCUCGGUAGUUGUUGCAACUCUGAAUGUCACCCUUGUUCUUGUAUAGAGGAAUCAUCGUGCUCCAUCUCCAUUCCUCAAGCAUCUUCACGGAUUUGAAAAUGUUGUUAAACAAGUUGGUCAGCCACCUUAACCCAGCCACGCUAGAAAACUUCCAAAAAUCCACCGAAAUCUCGCCGGGCCCCGUCGCCCUGCCCCUUCGCAUCUUGCGAAUAGCCUCGCUGACAUCCUCUACUUUAAAACGUCGACAAUAGCCGAAAUUGCGACACUCCCCGGUAUGAUCCAACUCCCCUAGCACAACACCUCUGUCCUCCUCGUCAUUCAAGAGUUUAUGAAAAUACGAUUGCCAUCUUUUCGUAAUAAGGGCGUCCUCCACCAAUACUCUACCAUCUUCCCCCCUUAAUGCACUUUACUUGAUCCAGAUCCCGACCCUUUCGUUCCCUAGCCUUGGCAAUCCUAAACAACCUCUUUUCCCUGCCUUUCUCCUCUAACCCCGUAUACAAACUCUCAAAAGCUGUUGUCUUAGCAGCUGUAACUGCUAACUUAGCCUCCUUCUUAGCUAACUUAUAGUCCUCCAUACUAACCUGUUUCUCCUCUUCAUCCUUACUCUCCACCAAUUUAACAUAAGCCGUCUUCUUCGUCUCCAUCUUCUUCUUAACGUCUUCAUUCCACCACCAAUCCCCUCGAUAUCGGCCUGACCAGCCCCUCGAGAUACCCAACACUUCUUUAGCAGAUUCUUUGAUACAUCCCGCAGUCCUAUCCCACAUACUAUCUACGUCCCCGCUAUCCUCCCAAACCCCCAUCCCUUCCAACUUCGCCCCUAUCUCCAAGGCACUAGCUGGAGUCAGUCCACCCCACCUAACUCUAGGAUGGCCCUCCCCACCUCGUCUCUUCUUGCCCUUCUUGAUACCCAAUUUUAUCACUAGAAGUCUAUGCUGGAUCACAAGAUUCUCACUCGGGAUAGCCUUACAAUCCUUACACAUUGCUCUAUCUCCCUUCCUAAGCAGCAAAAUGUUAAUUUGAGUCUUGGCUAGCCUACUACAAAAAGUAACCAGAUGCUCCUCCUUCUUUGGAAAGUUGGAAUUCAUUACCACUAACCCAAAGGCCCUCACAAAAUCUAAAAGAGCAGCUCCCUCAACAUUUCUAUCCCCGAACCCGAAACCUCCAUGCAUAUCAUCAUAACCCAUCGGCAGAGACCCGAUGUGCCCAUUAAAAUCCCCUCCUAUGAAAAUCAUCUCUGAACUAGGUACGCCUCUUACCACCUCGUCCAAAACCUCCCAAAAGUUUAAUUCGUUGCAUUAUAUUGUUGAUCUAGAACUUGGCUUUAAUGUUCGUUGAGGCAAAAUUCUGAGUUGCACUUAAUUUAGGAAAGGACCGUAGGCCUUCUUUGGGCCGGUUGAGCCUUUUACAGCCUACCAAAUGACAUUGAUCCCUAGCAUUUCCCCUUUUGAUCCUAAAACUUUUUCUUUGGACAAUCGUAUCUGAGCCUAUACCUUUUUUAAGUGCUUACAUGCACUAUCCCUUUCUUGGCCCUACCUCCUUAAGUGCACUAAAUACGUGCAAAUUAAAAACGAAGGUUCAAGAUCAAAGACGCAAAAUGCAAAGGAUACGUUGUUCCAAAUGAACAAAAUGAAAAAAACGACUUCAAAAGAAGCAAAAUUCCCCACAAAAAAAAGAGAAAAGAAAUCCCCCACAAAGAAAUCCAACACAAGAUUCAAAAAAGUCGAAGCAAGUACAAAACAAGGGGCAACGGAACACAACUAAAAAGAUCACGCGUUAAAGUGCAACAAAUGUUGAAAGCACAAAUGCAAUACAAUGCUCAUUGAGAAAUUAGUUACUUUUAUCCCAAAUAUUAUCCUACCCACCCCCAAGCCCACAUUACAACCCAAUAACAAGUCCUACCGGAUUCUAUUCCAAGCGUUCUCACAUUGGUGUAUACUUACAUGAAGGUCAAGCCUAUAGUAUCACAAUUGCAUGCAUUGAAUUUCUUUUCGAGUGUGAGUGUAUUUCUUGAUACAUUCCUAAAUUCAAAAGAAAAUUACUCAAAUAUAUGCAAAAUGAGACUUUCUUACUCAAAUAUAUGCGAAAAUAAAACUUUCUUUCUAAGGCACUUGAAUCAUAAGGAUAGGCAUAGUUUGACUUUUUUGAAUGAAGCAAGAUGAGUAAGUCUUGUCGAUAUUUAGGUGUGUCUGAGGUACCACUUGAAACUAUAAAAGUUACCAUAAAAUCGAUCUCGGUAAGCUGGGAAGGAGAUGGGGAAAUUUUUAUGCAUACUAUUAAUUAUUGGUACCAACUGAAGCCAAGACACGAUCAUGCCUUUUUUAUCUUUUAGCACUUUUUAUUGAGAAAAUACAAUUUUUUUCAAGACACCUAAUUUCAUAUACGAGCGUUUGUUUCAUCUUUCAUUCAAGGUGCCCACUUUCAUAUAUAUGUAUUUUUACUUUUUAUUUAAGGUGAUCAAUUUUGAAAUACGGGCAUUAGAUUUUUUCUUUCAAGCACAUAUCUUUAAAUAUCGAUAUUUUGUUUUUCGAUCAAGCGCCUAUUUUUUGGUGUUUUUACAUUUUUUAUAGCCCCUCCUGUCGAGAGUAUAUUACAUUUGUUUUGCAGUUUAAAGCCUUUUACAUUUCAAUAGCCCCGUCAAUUGAGUGACUAUUAGAUUUCAGCCAGCUCACUUGUUGAGGGCCUUAGUCUUCGUAGACAAUAAAAAAUGACAAUCAACAUUAGUCUUCAUAACAAUCGAAGAUGUCAUACAUUUUUUCCACGUCUCGAUAAGCAAUCGGAGGCGUCAUGCAUUUUUCAAUUCACAAUAGUUAGACAUUUUUUUAGUUCCCUUAGAAGAGGUCUUGUUGGCCAUAGAUCAUACACUAGGGCAAAUUUUGAGAGCCGCCUCAAAAUUUACUCUAUUUCUUUACUUUGAACUACAUUGACCUGAUUCUCGUGACACUCGAGAUAUGUAGGAAGCUCUAUGCAGAUUUAGGUCAUCACAAUCUCAUAAUCAUUCUUUCUCCUUAGUAAGUACACAAUAUUGCAUCAUAAAACUCGAUACUGGAGUAAUUUUGAAAGCAACAUCGAAAAUAUAUGAACACUUUCAUUCUCAAAUAAUUCUUUGCUCAAUAAUCAUUUUUUACAGGGAUUUGUCCACCCUAAAAUAGGAUAAUUGGGUCAGUCUGCCCUCCAAUAAGACAGUUAUGCAUGUUUUUAUUCAAUUAAAUAUUUAUGCUCUUUACUUGCACAUAUCACACUUCAUUUAUUUCUUUUUACAAUGCAUGUUAUCUUUGUCUUUACUUGCAUGCAAAACAAUGUAUUUAUUUUAUCAUUUGUUAUUUAAGCAUUGUAUAUUUUUCUUGCCUUUAUUUGCACAUCUCAGAAUACAUUUAUUUUAUUUAAGCACUGUAUUUUUUUUGCCUUUACCUGCACAUACUACAAUGCAUUUAUUUUAUCAUUUAAGCACUAUAUUUUAUCUUUGCCUUUAUUUGCAUGCAUCACAAUGAAUUUAUUUUAUCGUUUAAGCAUCACAUUUUAUCUUUGUCUUUACUUGCACACAUUGCAAUGCAUUUAUUUUAUAGUUUAAGCACUACAGUCUAUCUUUUCCUUUACUUGCACGCAUAGCAAUGCAUUUAUUUCAUCAUUUUAAACACUGCAUAUUAUCUUCAUCGCAAUGCAUCUAAGCACUACAUGUCAUCUUUGUAUUUAUUUACACAUGUCAUAAUGCACUUAUUUUAUUAUUUAAGCACUGGAUGUUAUCGCUGUCUUUGCCUGCACAUAUCGCAAUGCUUUUAUCAUUUAAGCACUGCACGCAUAUAUCGCAAUGCAUUUAUUUUAUCAUUUAGGCACUACAUGCGUCGCAAAAAUCGCAAUUUAUUUAUUUUAUCAUUUAAGCAUCACAUGUCAUUUUUUUCUUUAUCGACGUAUAUUGUUAUGCAUUUAAGCACUGCACGCACAUAUUGCAAUGCAUUUAUUUUAUCCUUUAAGCACUGCACGCCUCGCAAAUAUCGCAAUGAAUUUAUUUUAUUGUUUAAGCAUUGCAUGUCUCGCAUAUAUGGCAAUGCAUUUAUGUUAUUGUUUAAGCACUGCAUGUCAUAUUUGCCUUUACUGGCACAUAUUGCAAUGCAUUUAUUUAAGCUCUGCAUGCAUAUAUUGCAAUGUAUUUAUUUAUCAUUUAGGUACUGUACGCCUGCACAUAUUGCAAUGUCUUUGUUUUAUUAUUUGAGCUCUGAAUGCCAUCUUGGCUUUUCCUUGCACAUAUCGCAAUGCAUUUAUUUUACAGAUAAUACAUCAAAACUCCCCUGAACUUGUCCCGAUAACUUACUUUAGCACUUAAACUUUAUGGAUAAUUAUUUACCCCCUUAAUAUCUUUAUAGUGAAUUAAUUUUCCCUCUUAUGCUGAUGUGGCAUUUUUUUUAAAGAAAAAAAAUAAAAAAAAUGCAUGAACAGUAUUUUUUUAAAAUACUAAUAUAUAUAUAUAUAAAGAAAACAAAAACUCCUCUUCUUCACCCAUACCCGCCAACAGCCCCCCACCACCACCAAAUCCGCCAACACCCCCAUCCUACUUCUCCUCCAAUUACGAAAGCUGCCACCCCCCACCUUUAAUUUAUCCUCCUUCGACCCCUUAGAUUAAUAAAAGAAGAAUGAAAUUAAAUUUGAAAAUUAAAAAAUCUAUAUGAUUUGGAUGUUUGGUUUUUGAUUUUAGAGAAUUUGGUGUUGAUUUGAUUGAAGUUUUCAUGUGGAUUGAGUUUUUUUUAUCACCAUUUUAUGAUAUUUUUCGAUGGUGGCAAUUGAAUUUUUGAAGUGGGUUGAGUUUUCCGGCGAAAAUUCGCCGAAAUUUUCACCAAAAAACCUGGUCGGUGUGGUUGUGUAGGGGUGAACGAAGGUGGAUGGAGAAUGUUUAGGUGUGGCAGUGUAAGGGUGGGUGGGGCGUGUGUGCAGGUGUAGGGGUUGACGGGAGGGGCGGGGGAGGGGGAGUUAAAAUAUGUAUAUAUAUAUAUAUAUAUAUAUAUAUAUAUAAAUAAUAUUUAUAUAUAUUUUUAUAGAUAUUUUAUAUAUUUAUAUAUAAAAAUAUUUUAAAAAUACUUUAUUUACGUGGCUAUGACGUGACGGUGAUGUGACGCUGCUAUGGCAGCGAUUGUGAUGCACUCUCUCUCAUGAGAGUAGUGUUAUAUACUAAGGGGGGAAAUUAAUUCAGUUGAAAGAUGUUAAGGGGGGUAAACAAUUAUUUCUAAAGUUUAAGUGCUAAAGUAAGUUGUCGAAGCAAGUUCAGUGGGAUUUUGAUGUAUUAUCUCUUUAUUUUAUAAUUUAAACACCGCAUGUCAUUUUUACAUUUAUUUGCACAUCACAAUGUAUUUAUUUUGUUAUUUAAGCAUUGCACGCUUUGCCUUUACCUGCACAUAUCGCAACACACUUAUUUUACCAUUUAAGCACUGGAUGUUAUCUUUGUUUGUACCAUUUUUCUUAAUUAGUUAAGCACUGCAUGCUAUCUUUAAUUUCUCAAAAAAAGAAAAAAACAAGCUUAAUUUUUUGUUUGUAUUUUAUUGAGUAGUACUUCUUAGUUUGAUGCAUUUGCAAGUAUAUAAUUUGUGGAUGAAUUGGGUACGUCCACCCUAAAAUAGGACAUUUUAGGUUAGUCUGCCCUUUAAUAAAACAUUUUAUGCAUGUCUGUCUUUAAUUGAAUAUUUUAUUUGUCUUUAGUUAAAAUCUUGCAAUACAUUUAUUUAUUUAUCUUUAGUUUAGUUAAGCACUACAUAUCAUUUUUUCGAAUUUCUUGAAAAAAGAAAAAAAAUCAAGCUUUGUUACUCGUUUGUGUACUGUUUUUCAGUUUUAUAAAUUUUGCAAGCAUAGAGUUCGAGGAAGCAUUGGGUUUGCCUAACCCAAAAUAGGACAUGUUGGGAUAGCUUUUGAACUAUACCCUCCCUGAUCCUCAUGCAACACGAAAUAUGUAGGCAACUUUAAAUUGAAGUUCGUUCGAAUUCUUUAAUCAAAGAUAAUUUUUUUUCUUUUUAUCGAGCAAAAUUGGUUACACGUCAAUAUUUUCGUCUAAAGACUUCUAUAUCUUCUUCAAACAAAAAGUGGCAAAGUGUUGACACCCAAUUUUGGCUCUCCAAACAUAAAAUUAAUGCAUUCAGGCUCCUUGAUCGUUAAAUAGCAUAAAAUAUAUUUUUUCGUAUAUUUUUUACAAUUGUUAAUAAAUUAUUGAUAUUCAUCAUUAUUUUAGAAUUUUUAAUAAUUUAUUGUUUUAACUUUGCAUAAUUUAUUGAUAAUUAUUCUUAAUUUCAUAAAUUUUAGAAUUUUUGUCAGUUUAUUAUCAUUUUAAAUUUUUGUACAGUUAUUUGCAUGCGUAUAUAGCAUAGCAUUAUAAAUUUUUUGUAGCACACUAUAACUUAAAUUAUUUAUAGAAUAAUAAAUUUUUUAGAUAAUUUUAUUAUAUUUGUUAGUUGUAUUUUUCUGUAAUUAUAUAUCGACAUUCAUAUUUUUAUACGUUAUUUAAUAUAGUCUGCAAACAAUAAUGUCGGCUUAAUUAUUUUGAUAUACAAAGUAACAAAUUAAUCAAGUUAAAUCUCAUCACCUUUUAAAAAGUGAUAAUUAUGACGGGUGAACGCUUUCAUUCAUGGAAUAAAUAAUUUUUACACAUUAGUUAAAAAGGUGUAAGAACCAUUGAAUAACAUCUAGUAACUUAAAUUAUGUAUUAAAGAGACAAGAAAAAGUAGUUUAUUAUUUUUUGGAUAAAAAAAUAAAGUUUUUUUUAUUACUUUCUCCGUUUAAAAAAAAAUAAUCUAUUUUAUUGAAAUUAAAAUAUUAUAGAAAAAGAAUUAUUAUUUUUCGAACGAACUAAAUCCGAAGGUAGUUAUUUUUAAAAAAGAGGGAGUAUAAAUAAUAACAAGAGGGGUAAUUAUUUGUAACCUCAUAGUGCACACACAAACGCACAUACACACAUACGCACAUACCUCUCCAUUCUCUCUCUCACCAUCUCCGACCGCGUGACAGGCGGAGCACCACCAGUCGCUGCCCUUAUCUCACUCAUCUUUCCUUUCUCCUUCUUCCUCUUCACCGCCGCCAACAAAAUCGACCGGAGCCGCUGCCGCCCCCAUCCCUCUUUUUCUCUCUCCGCUCCAGCACCACCAGCUGCCACCGCGGCCUCAACAGCCACCGGCGGAGCAGCCAACCAGAUAAGUCAGCAGCCCGUUACACCCGUGUUUCCACCACCGUUGUCGGAGCUCGGGCAGGUCUCACUGCCAUCGCCUCCCUUUCCCUCUUUGCCCCUAUCGCUGACCAGCCUACUAUCACUACAGUAUCUUCUCCCUUUACCUGCAUUUUUGUAAUAAAAAUUAUUUUUUGAAGAUCUGUUUGGCUUUUGUAUUUUUUGGUGUUGCUCCGGUGAAAUCCGUGGACUUAGUGCCUCUCUUUUUCAUUGUUGCAACCAGAUCUGAUCGGGAAAUAUUUUUCUGUGUUGAAGUCUGUUAGCUCGUAUACUCUUGUAUCGUUAUUUUGUUCUGUCUGGGUAUUGUUACUGUAUGAACGGAUUAAGUUUGUUAAUUUCUAUUUUUUUCUUGUGUUUGUUCGAAGAUAAAUCAGCUCAGAACUUACAUUCUUUUUGACAAAUUUUGGAUUAUUUUGAUAAAAAUGAGAUGACCUCUGCUACUCGACUGCUUUCGUUCAUAAUUUUAUCACUUUUGCUUUAUGCCGUUAUAUUGUCUUUCUUUAUAUUAUCUUUCUUUGUCUCUUUAUUAUUAUUAUUUGGGGACUGAUUUAGUAUUGUUUAAAAUUUUCUUUUCAUUGACUUGUUAUUAUUUUAGUUGAUGAUAUGAUCACUUGAAUAUGUGUUCUUGAUCCAUUUGAUAUUGGUGCGUAUUUUAAAUGACACAUGUAAUCUGUCUUUUUCUGUUUAUUUUCCAAUGAUUUUAAGUAGUAUUGGUGUGCAUCUCUAUUUUUUGCGACUUAGUUACUUUAUUUUAUUUAUAUUUGAU
This 13247-nucleotide long non-coding RNA is filed under the name Capsicum annuum. Its description in RNAcentral is "long non-coding RNA (CANN_LNC005390)". Lineage: Eukaryota; Viridiplantae; Streptophyta; Magnoliopsida; Solanales; Solanaceae. The record is from RNAcentral.